This 253-nucleotide ribosomal RNA is filed under the name uncultured bacterium. Its description in RNAcentral is "partial 16S ribosomal RNA". It matches the Rfam family "Bacterial small subunit ribosomal RNA", at positions 524 to 776 of the family's 1533-position model. The record is from RNAcentral.
UACGAACUGUGCAAACGUUAUUCGGAUUCACUGGGCUUAAAGGGUGCGUAGGCGGCCAUGUAAGUAGGGUGUGAAAUCCCCCGGCUUAACCGGGGAACUGCGCCCUAAACUGUAUGGCUGGAGUGAGAUAGGGGUGUGUGGAGCUUCCGGUGGAGCGGUGAAAUGUGUUGAUAUCGGAAGGAACGCCGGUGGCGAAAGCGACACACUGGGUCUCAACUGACGCUGAGGCACGAAAGCCAGGGGAGCGAACGGG